GAUCUUUACUCACCACAGCUUCUUUUCUAAUGCCCCUCCCGCUGCACCCUAAACUCUCUUUGUAACCCCUCUGCUCCCAACCUCCGAGUUUGGUCAGAGGCAAAGACCAGCUCUCUCGCCGAUAUAUAUGAAUGGAGUUUCAUUGUUUUUGUGCUACCCCAGACCCUGCCCAGCGCAGCGCAGCGCAUGCUAUUCAGAAGGUGGUGAGUAACAACCCAGCAAGUGCCUGUGAAGGGUUCCAGCCUGCUGCAUCGCUCCUUUGCAACUGGGCACAUACAGCAGCACAGAGCUGAGCUUGAUAGCUCUAUAAAGGGAAAGCUUAUCAAUGCAAUUAAGAUAGAGACGCGUCGCCUCGUUAGCCCAUGCUGAGGGUGGCGGUCUAACACAUCCUGUUGUGGAGCGGCUGGUCUCCAUUGCCUGGUGGAAUAGUCACACGUUUAUACCUUCCGCAGCAGGCUAUGCCAUAGUUCUGAAUGGAGUGGCUGGUGGUAAGGUGUCUCUCCACCUGCACGGAAGCAGUGCUGAGUAGAGCUGGUCAGGACUUUUUCAAUUCAGAGCAUGGAUAUGAAUCUGAAUCUCUUACAUCCCAGGUGAGUGCCCUAAUCACUGGGCUAUUAACUAUUGUGGGGUGGGGUGCGGCUCUCUUCUGUUUUUUUGUGAAACAUUUUGAAAGAUUCCCAAUGUGGCAAGGGAAAGUUUUUCAAUAGAGUACAGCCUCUGUUUUACAAACUAAUUGGGGACUGAGGA
RNAcentral lists this long non-coding RNA (747 nucleotides) under Chrysemys picta bellii (western painted turtle). Its description in RNAcentral is "lncRNA (ENSCPBG00000025260.1)". Lineage: Eukaryota; Metazoa; Chordata; Testudines; Emydidae. The record is from RNAcentral.